UGCCCAGUAAUUCCUAUCCCUACCUCCUCGUGAUACUAGCCGGGGUACGAGUAACCUGAGUGAAGAUCGCGUAACCAACCCCGGUGGGAACUGUGGUUUUAUGCUGACAGGGGAUG
This 116-nucleotide ribozyme is filed under the name Aedes aegypti (yellow fever mosquito). Its description in RNAcentral is "drz-agam-1 ribozyme". It matches the Rfam family "drz-agam-1 ribozyme". The record is from Rfam by way of RNAcentral. Lineage: Eukaryota; Metazoa; Arthropoda; Insecta; Diptera; Culicidae.